This 401-nucleotide ribosomal RNA is filed under the name uncultured bacterium. Its description in RNAcentral is "bacterial SSU rRNA". It matches the Rfam family "Bacterial small subunit ribosomal RNA", at positions 355 to 773 of the family's 1533-position model. The record is from RNAcentral.
UAACGAAUCUUCCCCAAUGCACGAAAGUGUGAGGGAGCGACGCCGCGUGUGGGACGAAGUCCUUCGGGAUGUAAACCACUGUCAGGGGUUACCAAGUUCUGAGGAGCCCCAGAGGAAGAGGCGGCUAACUCUGUGCCAGCAGCCGCGGUAAGACAGAGGCCUCAAGCGUUAGGCGGAAUCACUGGGCUUAAAGCGUGUGUAGGCGGAUCGUUAAGUGUCUUGUGAAAUCCCACGGCUCCCCCGUGGAACUGCUGGGCAUACUGGCGAUCUUGGGCCAACUAGGGGCAACUGGAACAAGCGGUGGAGCGGUGAAAUGCGUAGAUAUCGCUUGGAACGCCGAAGGUGAAAACAGGUUGCUGGGGUUGUGCCGACGCUGAGACACGAAAGCCAGGGGAGCAAAC